GAAGAGUUCUUCGGACUUGCACGUCACGGUCACGGUUACUAUAGCAUAAUAUAAUCACAACCAGAUUGUCACCGCCGGAUACUGUAGUUUUGCUGGGCGAUCCGAUUUUGGGUUAGUCGGCGGCGUGGCUUCCGGCGAAGUGCGCAUGCGUACCGACGCCGGCGACGCAUGUUAGGCCUGGUGCGCUGGCGUUUUUAGAGAGUUCCAGAGCCUGUGCGCUGGCGUGCUCGAGUCGGUGAUUGUCGUUCUGGUGCCUUCCACGCCGUCAAUAUAUAGGGCGCCACCGGGCGUCGUCGCCAUCGCCCGAAGCUCUGCGCAUCUUUGUUCCUUCUUGGCUAUUCCCUGUCGGGGCCCCUGCUCUUUUUCUUCCGCGCUGCUUGGCCUUUCUUCUUUGUUCGCUGGGGCUCGUGGCAGCCGGCUUCGUUUAGGGUUUCGCUCGGCUGCGGCGGUUGCUCUUGGUGCGUUUUAGCAUCCGCCGGAUUUGUUGAUUUCUGAAUCUAGGGUGUUGCUGCUCCGUCGCAGUUGCAGGUCGCUCGUCGUUUGAGGUUCUCGUUGCCAAACACUGCUAGAGGUGGCGUUUCUUCUCUGCACAGGUCGCUCGUUGUUUGGCUGGAGCAACGCUACGAGAGGUGUGUUUUGUUUUUUCAUGAUUUCUGAUUGGAUCCACGAUGUUUCAAUCUUGGAUUGAGCGGUCUAGCAGGUGCCGGCAUGUGCUGGAGGAGAAGACCGGGUUGCCUAGGCUGGACACCAAGAACAAGAAUAAGGCUAGAGAUGGGAAGAAAUGAGUGGCACUGGAUCCGACCCUGUGACAAUUUCUAAUGGUUCUGUUCAGCUAAGAUUGUCAAAUGCAAUUCCAAGAGAAAAGGGAAACGUUGCCUUACUUUUUUUUGAGGGGGGGGGGAGGGGAUUUGCUUAAGGUGAAAGUUGUUCAUGUAAAUUUUUAGACUAAAUUCCACUUUUUACCCUCAAGAUUCAUUUUCCUUUUGACAAGUUAUACUCCAUUUAGUGGGGAUUCCAUUUACCUUGAAGGUGAUUACUUGCCUUU
Long non-coding RNA from Brachypodium distachyon (stiff brome), 1045 nucleotides. RefSeq lists it as uncharacterized. Lineage: Eukaryota; Viridiplantae; Streptophyta; Magnoliopsida; Poales; Poaceae. The record is from RefSeq and is a predicted model, not a curated record. The transcript is spliced from 2 exons.